RNAcentral lists this non-coding RNA (23 nucleotides) under Mus musculus (house mouse). Lineage: Eukaryota; Metazoa; Chordata; Mammalia; Rodentia; Muridae. The record is from RNAcentral.
UCACAAAUGUUCCCUACACUGGA